RNAcentral lists this ribosomal RNA (872 nucleotides) under uncultured archaeon. RNAcentral's name for it is "bacterial SSU rRNA". It matches the Rfam family "Archaeal small subunit ribosomal RNA", at positions 86 to 919 of the family's 1478-position model. The record is from RNAcentral.
UGGCUCAGUAACACGUGGAGAAUCUAACCUUUGGUGGAGGAUAAUCUCGGGAAACCGAGAAUAAUACUCCAUAAACAUAGGAUGCUGGAAUGCUUCUAUGUUGAAAGGCAACGCCAAAGGAUGACUCUGCGACCUAUCAGGCUGUAGUGAGUGUAAUGGACUCACUAACCUGCAACGGGUACGGGUGUUGGAAGACAUUGCCCAGAGACGGACUCUGAGACAUGAGUCCAGGCUCUACGGAACGCAGCAGGCGCGAAAACUCCGCAAUGUACGAAAGUACGACGGGGGAAUUCUGAGUGCUUACGCCUUGCGUAGGCUGUUUUCUUGUCUAAAAAACAAGGAGAGUAAGGGCUGGGUAAGACGGGUGCCAUCUCGUGCAAUUCUGCACUUAUUGUGUUCGUUGCACGAAGCACAAGCCGCCGCGGUAAUACCCGCGGCCCGAGUGGUGCUCAUUAUUAUUGAGCCUAAAACGUCCGUAGCCGGUUUAAUAAAUUCUUGGGUAAAUCAUAUCGCUUAACGAUAUGAAUUCUGAGAACACUGCUAAACUCGGGAAUGGGAGAGGCCAGAGGUACUUUCAGGGUAGGGGUAAAAUCCCGUAAUCCUGAGAGGACCACCGGUGGCGAAGGCGUCUGGCUAGAACAUAUUCGACGGUAAGGGACGAAGCCCUGGGGCGCAACGGGAUUAGAUACCCCGGUAGUCCAGGGUGUAAACGCUGUAGAUUUGGUGUUGGAAAUCCUACGGGGAUUCCCAGUGCCGGAGAGAAGUUGUUAAAUCUACUGCUUGGGGAGUACGGUCGCAAGACUGAAACUUAAAGGAAUUGGCGGGGGAGCACCGCAACGGGUGGAGCGUGCGGUUUAAUUGGAUUCAACGCC